This 86-nucleotide transfer RNA is filed under the name Caudoviricetes sp. Its description in RNAcentral is "tRNA-Leu". The record is from RNAcentral. Lineage: Duplodnaviria; Heunggongvirae; Uroviricota; Caudoviricetes.
CGCCCAAUGCCGGAAUUUGGUAUACGAUGCGGAUUCAAAAUCCGUUGCUGAAAAGCGUCUGGGUUCGACCCCCAGUUGGGCGACCA